Long non-coding RNA from Pogoniulus pusillus (Red-fronted tinkerbird), 261 nucleotides. RefSeq lists it as uncharacterized. The record is from RefSeq and is a predicted model, not a curated record. The transcript is spliced from 2 exons. NCBI's taxonomy places the organism in Eukaryota, Metazoa, Chordata, Aves, Piciformes, Lybiidae.
CAUGAAAAUUAGAACUUCAUAUGGUGGGACCUCAGUGGAGUGAAAUCCUAGCUUAGCAGUUUUCACAGUUGUAUAUGAGAGGAGAAUUAAUAAGAGACUGGGUGGGUGUUGCCUGGAGUCAACCCAUCACACUUGACAAAACUCAACAUGUAAAAAAAGUUAAGGACAAAAGUAGACUAUGCUCUGUGUCAUGACAUCUUUAUAACUGCUUUCCUUUUUAAAGCAAUUGUGCAGUAGAUAAAUACGAUGACAUGGAAAAUG